RNAcentral lists this ribosomal RNA (305 nucleotides) under uncultured bacterium. Its description in RNAcentral is "partial 16S ribosomal RNA". It matches the Rfam family "Bacterial small subunit ribosomal RNA", at positions 508 to 807 of the family's 1533-position model. The record is from RNAcentral.
ACAGCAGUCGCCGCGGGAAUACGAAGGGGGCUAGCGUUGUUCGGAAUUACUGGGCGUAAAGGGCGCGUAGGCGGCCAUUCAAGUUAGAUGUGAAAGCCCUGGGCUCAACCUAGGAAUUGCAUUUGAUACUGUUUGGCUUGAGUUCGGGAGAGGUGAGUGGAAUUCCCAGUGUAGAGGUGAAAUUCGUAGAUAUUGGGAAGAACACCAGUGGCGAAGGCGGCUCAUUGGACCGACACUGACGCUGAGGCGCGAAAGCGUGGGGAGCAAACAGGAUUAGAUACCCCUGUAGUCCCUGUCUCUUAUAC